GUGGGGAAUCUUGCGCAAUGGGCGAAAGCCUGACGCAGCCAUGCCGCGUGAAUGAUGAAGGUCUUAGGAUUGUAAAAUUCUUUCACCGGGGACGAUAAUGACGGUACCCGGAGAAGAAGCCCCGGCUAACUUCGUGCCAGCAGCCGCGGUAAUACGAAGGGGGCUAGCGUUGCUCGGAAUUACUGGGCGUAAAGGGCGCGUAGGCGGACAGUUUAGUCAGAGGUGGAAGCCCAGGGCUCAACCUUGGAAUUGCCUUUGAUACUGGCUGUCUUGAGUACGGGAGAGGUGAGUGGAACUCCGAGUGUAGAGGUGAAAUUCGUAGAUAUUCGGAAGAACACCAGUGGCUAAGGCGACUCACUGGCCCGUUACUGACGCUGAGGCGCGAAAGCGUGGGGAGCAAACAGGAUUAGAAACCCGGGUAGUCC
This 425-nucleotide ribosomal RNA is filed under the name uncultured bacterium. Its description in RNAcentral is "partial 16S ribosomal RNA". It matches the Rfam family "Bacterial small subunit ribosomal RNA", at positions 354 to 796 of the family's 1533-position model. The record is from RNAcentral.